This 489-nucleotide ribosomal RNA is filed under the name uncultured bacterium. Its description in RNAcentral is "bacterial SSU rRNA". It matches the Rfam family "Bacterial small subunit ribosomal RNA", at positions 31 to 524 of the family's 1533-position model. The record is from RNAcentral.
GAAGAACGCUGGCGGUGCGCCUAAUGCAUGCAAGUCGAGCGACGCACACCGGAGGGGUAACCCACUGGUAUGACGGAGCGGCGAACGGGUGAGUAACACGUGAGCAACCUGCCCCGCAGACCGGGAUAGCCCAGGGAAACCUGGAUUAAUACCGGAUACCCUCGGAUGACCUCAUGGUCGAUCGAGGAAAGGCCUUUGUGCUGUGGGAUGGGCUCGCGGCUUAUCAGCUAGUUGGUGGGGUAACGGCCCACCAAGGCAACGACGAGUAGCUGGUCUGAGAGGACGAUCAGUCACACUGGAACUGAGACACGGUCCAGACUCCUACGGGAGGCAGCAGCAGGGAAUCUUGCGCAAUGGGCGAAAGCCUGACGCAGCGACACCGCGUGGGGGAUGAAGGCCUUCGGGUUGUAAACCCCUUUCAGGAGGGAAGAAAUUGACGGUACCUCCAAAAGAAGGACCGGCCAACUACGUGCCAGCAGCCGCGGUAAU